Camelus dromedarius (Arabian camel) is the source of this 4568-nucleotide long non-coding RNA. RefSeq lists it as uncharacterized. Lineage: Eukaryota; Metazoa; Chordata; Mammalia; Artiodactyla; Camelidae. The record is from RefSeq and is a predicted model, not a curated record. The transcript has 2 exons.
CUCGGGCAGAAGGAUGCAUUUCCUUGGAUUUUUCAAGGUCUCACCCAUCAGCCUUUCCCUGGGAAUGAUCGAUUCUGCGUCUCUGUGUAUACAGUGGAGCUCUGUGACUGCAGAAGGAGCGUCCAGCACCAGCCACAAGCGUGUCUCACAACAGCCUCCCCCGCCCUCGGAGGAGAUCCUGGAGGCGGCCGCGGCCGCGCCCGAAGCCCGUCAGCUCACUGCACCGAGCAAGAACGGAGCUGUUCAUUCUGAUCUUACAGGAAAAGGACCUCCUUUCCACACAUUUUAAAAAGUACUUCUCUGUACUUGGCCACUAGUCGGCAACCACAAAGUGAGCUUCAAUCUCAGACAGGAGGGUCCUAUGCCCACCCAAGCCUUUUUAUAGCUUGACAGUAACAAACAAAGGAAAACAAAGCAGCAAGGCUUAUCAGUUAUGCUGAGAGCAAGCAGCACCCAAGCCGGCACAAGCGGGAGCGUUUGCGGUCAGUGACCCGAGCUGCUGGUAAGAGAGGGACAUUUUGUACCAGCACGUGCUGAGCUCAGCCCAGCUCAGCCCUCUCACUUGCUCUGAGGACAGUCUGGCCAGAGAGGGAACCCCCGUGCUCCGUGGGUGCCGCCUCACGGGAAAUGCGCUGCGGCUUGAAACCGAGGAAGAAGCUUGGGCAAACGUUUCUGGCUCAUGAACGUGCUUGUCAAAGCUCUGCGCAGCGCGAGAGAGGGAGGACGCGUCCUUGCCGGGGGCCCAACUUCCCUUCCCUUCUCGAAAGCCCCGCGUGUUCCCUUUCUGAUCACCAGCGAACUGCCGCAUGGCCUCGGUGCCUCUUUCUUCUCUGAACUUCCUCUCCUCUUCCUUACACUGUCUGCUCCCUAAGAACCAUGCCCGCCCCCCGCCCCCAGCUCCGGGUGCAGCCGUGAGCAUCCUCCGUCCUGCCCCUUUACCGUGGGCCCGGGGUGGAGCUGCCGGUUCCCUCGCAGGUGCUUGGACGCUGCUUUGAGGUGGGUAGCUAGCUUUCAGCCUCUUGGGAAAGCCUUUGAUCCCCAUCCCAUUCCCUCUUCAAAUCCCAUCUCACUCCCUCCCUGAUUCCCAUCCCAUUCGUCUCCAUCACCCUCCCUCCUUUCCAGUGGCAGCAGGCACCCUGCCUUACAUUAUAAUCCAAAUGGGGCCACCUAAGGGCUCCGGCUGGUGGUGGGAAGGGAAGGGAAGGGACAAGGGAAGGACGAGUUGGGGUCAAUAAAUAAUAUGCAUUAGUGUAGCAGGGAAGGACAAACCUGACUCUGUGUUAGACCUGCCCCUUUGGCUCUGACCCUGGGCUCUGUCUCCUGGGCUCAGUCGUGCUGGUUCCACACCUUUUGUAAAAGACUGUUGUCUAUGGCCUGAAAUAGACAGGAGAGCCCGUUCUCAAGGCUCUGACCUUUAAGGGUGUAACACUUCCCCAGUCAUAUAAAGAUAAAAAGUUGCAGCAGAGAAUAGCACUUGUUGCUGGAGGUUUACAGGGACACCAUGACCCGACCCACGGGGACGGCUGCAAGAUCAAAGGAUUCUGACACCAAGAAUUGUGCAACAACCAAACACACCCCCGCCCUUUCUUUAGUAUAAAAGGAGCCUGAAUUCUGACUUGGGUAAGAUGGUCUCUAGGACAUUAGUCCCCCAUCUUCUCGGUCUGCUGGCUUUCCAAAUAAAGUCAUUGUUCUUCGCCCCAACACCUCAUCUCCCGAUUUACUGGCCUGUCGUGCGGCAAGCGGAACGAGUUUGGACUCGGUAACACUAUGACUCCCGCUAUUGAUAGCAGAGUGGCUGGUUGUACCAAGUAAUGAUAACAAAGCUACUCACCAUUGCCCCAGAGCCGUGUCUGCUUAGGGAGAAGACGCCACUCCUUCCCUUGUUCCCAGUCGGUCUGGCCCACACGAGUCCUUGAACCAAGAUGAAGGUGGUGCAGGACGCCGUCGGGCAUCCCAUUCGCACGAGCAGCACUUCAGGACAGCUCUGAGGCCAGCCCCCACCUCGACAGGGGGCCGAUCACGCCGCUGUCCUGGCCGCCUCCUGCUCCCAAACCAGAAAGUUGGAUGCGUGCUCAAUACCCACCCAGCAGAAGGAUCGCCACCUCUCAGUGGAUGAAAUCAGCCCCAUGCGAAGCGAAGGGAGUUAACGUGAUGGGCUUGGAUGAACUGGAACUGACUUCCUAGUCACGUUACUAGGGGGAUAUGCGUAAUCAGCUGAGACCGGACACUGUUGGGUUCUGUCCUAAAGCUCCCAAUAAAUCCCGUUCACAUUUCCCGCCAUGAGCGCUGAGUCAUCUGAGAAGUAAGUCAGAGGAGUCAGCAUUUGGAGGCCAAAGCAUCACAGGGACUGCUGAUAAAGCUGGCCCUGAGGAAGUGAUGUAGGCCCGCCGUCCAGUGGGCCCACUCCUUAGCUGACUUAAAGAGGCAGUGUCGUGCUGGCCAGGGCAGACACACACCAAGACAGUCGACGCAGACAGGAUGACCUGCAGUCACCAAAACGGACAGAACAACUCAGCAAAUGACACAAACAGAAAAAAGCUUGACCUCAGCGAACUCUGAGAUGGUUCCGAAUUGGUUAAUUAAAUGAUCUCCAAGAUGACCCUGUGCCCAAGACAGAACAUAUAUUCUUGGACCUAUUUUUCUUAUACCAAUUAUGUUCACUUCCAUCAUUCCAUACAGUUUGGCAGGGGUCCUUAAUAAGAUAAAACAGAAAAUUUAACUGCCCAAAUAAUUUGAAAAAAAUCUAGAGACGCCCCAAAUUAAGGAAACGUUUUUCUCUGAUUGUCAAGUCCCCAAGGAGAAAUUAAAUCCUCCGGUAACUUCAAAUCCAAAGACCAAAGGAAGUGAAGACCAAAAGCAAAUUAUCUCGCCCUUGAAAGUUAAAAGUCUAAAGACACGAGCGACCCCCUCGGUCCUCACUCGGCUUAGUAUCCGCACCACGGCUUCUCGGCACUGGGACGGCACUCGGCCUUCUGCAACCUGGGCUGUCUUUGGCAGGAGUUGACGUGGAAGCUCCAAGACCUCAGAGUUUGAAUCUCCCUAGUGCCAAAGCUGUGAGGUGGCUCUGCUGUUAAAGAGGACAAGAGGGAAUGAGAUGUACAAGGUGACCAAGGACCUGGAGUCACACACCCCACACUCAUCACGCAGCUGGCGCCCCCCAGCAUGAUGAUGGGGAGAAAGAGGACAGUGCCCCUCUCCUGCUCCACCUCACCCCCGUUUUCCCCUGCUCGAUCUCUGGGCAUCCUGGGGCAGGCCCUGCACGCAGACAGGCUGUCUAUGCGGAGCAGUGUGAGGCUGGGGUCUCCGCAUUGUCCCAGAUGACCUACCUCACGCCUCGGCCUGGCUGCAUGCGGAGUCAAGACAGGUACACUGCCCGAAGCUGUCUCCGCCCUCCCACAAAGAAGACUGACAGUUCGGCAUCCUUAUCAGUCCUGCUCAGUGGCUGCGGGUUGUGGGUGAUGCUUGGUGGGGAAGCUGGCAGGUCGUUCAGAGGAGCCAUAGAGAAAUGGCUCCCAUCUUGUUCCUUCUAGGAGCACUCAGGAGCAGGAGCAGGAGCAGGGGAGCCCUUUGUCAGAUGUGCCCUUUGAGUAUCUUCCAAGAGUCAGCACAGUGAACAGUGGCAGGGAGUGACACGGAGGUGAAGCAGGCCCAGUCUCAAACAUCAGGCCCCGUUCACCAUCUGCGGGGCCGGGGACCACCCACACUCUCCACGCCGUAUUCUCUUCCCUGUGUCAGGGGAAGGGGGGCAUUAACUCUGCAGAGUGAUGAAAGCUUUUGUGACAAUUCAGUGAAAUGAACAAGGUCUUCUGCACGCACGGAUCAUCCUGCUGCAGCUCCCUGUUCACACACGUGUGGCCUCUGCCCCCCCCGGCUCUCAGCAGAGCUCUCCUCCGAGCGCCUCCCUGGUCACUCCAGCUGUAAAUUCUUCAAGCAGCCUGGGAAUUCUCCACAACCUGAGCCCCACUGACCCCAGGACCACACGGAACUGACCACAACUCCUGUAGACUCCUCAGGACUGACGGAUUCUGUGCAAUGCCUUUGCAGGGCUGGAUAGAGCGGCAAACAGGACAACCACUGUGACACUGUGGUUUCUAGCAAGGAAUAUAUACUCUUGUCUUCAUCUCUGUUUCUGGCACAGAGCUUCUAGAACUCUUGGAAUUUCCUAAGUGAUGAAAGCAUAGAAAUGUCUUCUGUGUUACAUUAAUGAGGUUAUGUUUUGGACUGCAGCUCAGGACUGGGACCAUUCACCAGAAGAACCUGGUAAGAGGGUUGGGACUUUCAGUUCCACCCCUUGAUCUCUGACCUCUGGGGAAGGGAGAGGGGCUGGAGGUCGGAUCAACUGCCAAUGGCCAAUGGCUUAAACAAUCACACCAUAAAACCCCAAAAGGAGCAGGUUUGGAGAGCUUCUGGGCUGGUGAACACAUGGAGAUUUGGGGAGUGUGGUGCCCUCAGAGGGAACACGGAUGCUCCCUCACCCUUUUCCCAUUCCCCACCCUACCCACCUCUUCCAUCUGGUCAUCCUUGAGUUGCAUCCUUUUAUAAUAAAAUCAGUAAUCUAGUAAGUAGAA